This 500-nucleotide ribosomal RNA is filed under the name uncultured bacterium. Its description in RNAcentral is "partial 16S ribosomal RNA". It matches the Rfam family "Bacterial small subunit ribosomal RNA", at positions 29 to 523 of the family's 1533-position model. The record is from RNAcentral.
AUUGAACGCUGGCGGCAUGCCUUACACAUGCAAGUCGAACGGCAGCACGGGAGCAAUCCUGGUGGCGAGUGGCGAACGGGUGAGUAAAGUAUCGGAACGUGCCCAGUCGUGGGGGAUAACGUAGCGAAAGUUACGCUAAUACCGCAUACGAACUAUGGAUGAAAGCGGGGGAUCGCAAGACCUCGCGCGAUUGGAGAGGCCGAUACCAGAUUAGGUAGCUGGUGGGGUAAAGGCUCACCAAGCCGACGACCUGUAGCUGGUCUGAGAGGACGACCAGCCACACUGGGACUGAGACACGGCCCAGACUCCUACGGGAGGCAGCAGUGGGGAAUUUUGGACAAUGGGCGAAAGCCUGAUCCAGCCAUGCCGCGUGCAGGAUGAAGGCCUUCGGGUUGUAAACUGCUUUUGUACGGAACGAAAAGGUUUGGCCUAAUAAGCUGAGCUCAUGGCGGUACCGUAAGAAUAGGCACCGGCUAACUACGUGCCAGCAGCCGCGGUAA